AAGGCAUGGGAACAUGUGGAGUUAGCCACACCCCUAGAUAUGCUGGAGAGUCAGCCCUUAUCUGCACUUCUGCCUGGUGCGUCCUGGGCUAGGCUCCACACCUAGUACCCAAUUCAAAUUGCUUACUAACCAGGGCUUCCACCAAAAGUAAAAGUCACUAAAAGUUAACGUUGUAACAUGUAAUUGAGACUAUUGAAGAAACACUUUUACAUGUAAGGCUAACCCUGCUUAUUCCUAUGAACCAACCAGUAAUCUCUGACUGUUGCUCAGAAAAAAACAAGAGGACAGAUGGAGUCUCCUUCUGUCACCCAAGCUGGAGUGCAGUGGCGUGAUCUCGGCCCACUGCAACCUCUGCCUCCCGGGUUCAAGUGAUUCUCCUGCCUCAGCCUCCUGAGUAGCUGGAACUACAGGCACACACCACCACACCUGGCUAGUUUUUGUAUUAUUAGUAGAGAUGGGGUUUCACCAUAUUGACCAGGCUGGUCUCAAACUCCUGACCUCAUGAUCCACCCACCUUGGCCUCCCAAAAUGUUGGGAUUACAGUUGUGAGCCACCACACCCGGCCCUAAAUGUUUUCUUAAAUUAAACACUUAUAAAUCUUCCAGAUAUCACCUUUUGUCAAAAUUCAAUAAUUAUGAACGGACCUUACUAUACUGAUGCUUUCUUACUAAGCUCCUCUCUACCCUGAAUGCAAGAGACCCUCAUAGUUAGGCAAGAAUAUCAUCACCCCAUUCAAUCUGA
Gorilla gorilla gorilla (western lowland gorilla) is the source of this 741-nucleotide long non-coding RNA. RefSeq lists it as uncharacterized. Lineage: Eukaryota; Metazoa; Chordata; Mammalia; Primates; Hominidae. The record is from RefSeq and is a predicted model, not a curated record. The transcript is spliced from 3 exons.